CAGUAGCCGCGGUAAUACGGAGGGAGCUAGCGUUGUUCGGAAUUACUGGGCGUAAAGCGCGCGUAGGCGGUUACUCAAGUCAGAGGUGAAAGCCCGGGGCUCAACCCCGGAACUGCCUUUGAAACUAGGUGACUAGAAUCUUGGAGAGGUCAGUGGAAUUCCGAGUGUAGAGGUGAAAUUCGUAGAUAUUCGGAAGAACACCAGUGGCGAAGGCGACUGACUGGACAAGUAUUGACGCUGAGGUGCGAAAGCGUGGGGAGCAAACAGGAUUAGAUACCCCCGUAGUCUCUGUCUCUUAUAC
RNAcentral lists this ribosomal RNA (301 nucleotides) under uncultured bacterium. Its description in RNAcentral is "partial 16S ribosomal RNA". It matches the Rfam family "Bacterial small subunit ribosomal RNA", at positions 509 to 807 of the family's 1533-position model. The record is from RNAcentral.